RNAcentral lists this ribosomal RNA (497 nucleotides) under uncultured bacterium. RNAcentral's name for it is "partial 16S ribosomal RNA". It matches the Rfam family "Bacterial small subunit ribosomal RNA", at positions 28 to 507 of the family's 1533-position model. The record is from RNAcentral.
GAUGAACGCUGGCGGCGUGCCUAAUACAUGCAAGUCGAGCGAACAGACGAGGAGCUUGCUCCUCUGACGUUAGCGGCGGACGGGUGAGUAACACGUGGAUAACCUACCUAUAAGACUGGGAUAACUUCGGGAAACCGGAGCUAAUACCGGAUAAUAUAUUGAACCGCAUGGUUCAAUAGUGAAAGACGGUUUUGCUGUCACUUAUAGAUGAAUCCGCGCCGCAUUAGCUAGUUGGUAAGGUAACGGCUUACCAAGGCGACGAUGCGUAGCCGACCUGAGAGGGUGAUCGGCCACACUGGAACUGAGACACGGUCCAGACUCCUACGGGAGGCAGCAGUAGGGAAUCUUCCGCAAUGGGCGAAAGCCUGACGGAGCAACGCCGCGUGAGUGAUGAAGGUCUUCGGAUCGUAAAACUCUGUUAUUAGGGAAGAACAAAUGUGUAAGUAACUAUGCACGUCUUGACGGUACCUAAUCAGAAAGCCACGGCUAACUACGUG